Long non-coding RNA from Dromaius novaehollandiae (emu), 8591 nucleotides. RefSeq lists it as uncharacterized. The record is from RefSeq and is a predicted model, not a curated record. The transcript has 5 exons. NCBI's taxonomy places the organism in Eukaryota, Metazoa, Chordata, Aves, Casuariiformes, Dromaiidae.
GCCCAGUAAGAUACCAGAACACCAGCACAGCACUUCCUGCCGGCUCCUUUUUCUCCCACCGCGGCUCCAACCUCCCCGCAGUCCCCCCGGGGCUCAGGAGCGCACAGCGGGCCCGCACCGCCGCUUUCAUUUUGCAGCCGCCUCGCGCAGAAACGCGGCGCGACUUCCCUGCUCCGCUGCGGCUCCUCGCGACGGAGCCGCCACCCGCCGCUCCCCCAGCGGCUCGGGGGUCCCCGGCCCUCCCCGCCCCACACAGCGGUCCGCACACAGUGCUCUUAUCGCCAAACAAGGCUUCCUUCCCAUUUUGUAAAAUGAGGGCGAGAAGGCUGCGGGAACGUGGUCGGCUGUCAUAUGGUUGUCAAAAGCAGGUGGCAUGGCAAGUCUUGCUGGCAUGAGAUCUAACACUACAAGUAGCACAAUGACUUUGCUGCACCGCCAGAAUAUUGCUGGGAAGGAGCAUUGGAACAGCCUUUCAUUCACCUGUUUUUCAUCAGAAAUAAGUUUCCCUGCCACUUGUAUGCUGCCUAUAUCUCACCUCCUGGUCAUGCAGAAAUCAUUGAUCCAGAUAUUAGGAAGUGUCUACCAAAGACUGACUGAUGUAUGAAGAGGAAUGGAUCAAAGAAAAGGAAUCCAGAACGAAGAUUAAACUUCAAGGAAAAUCACACAGAUACAGAAGUGCACAGCUGAACAACUUUGCAUUGCCUUGGAGCACAUAGGUGAAAAAUGAAUUAAAGGAAUAUGCCUUCAACAUGCUAGGUUGGGAUUCCAACUCCAUAUUGCUCUAAUCAUAGCAGAGUACUUGUUGCAUGGAGGCAAAAUCUGGUGGAAUUAAAAUAAAUGCUUGUUCUGGUUAAUGGGUACAACCAGCUGUUUUUGAAAAUUAGAUGCAAGGGGUCUUGAGACUGGAGCAUUAUCAAUAUAUGUACUCCUCCAGAUAAGAAUGCAAAGCUAAAGACUCACUAGGGUGGGAAAACCCUUUUUUGGCUAUAAAUCUUAUUUUAGGAGGACUACUGGAAUUACUGGGAGAAAUUGGAGGGAACAGAAAGAAGGUGAUUGUUUCCAAAUGGCCACUUAGUCUUCAUCAUGCAAUACUCAUGCUGGAACAGGGGAUGGAUAAUUUCCAUUGACUUAACUGUUUUGAUGAAUUACUGUUGCAAGUGAGGGAGCUGCUGCAUUAGGAGGAUUUUUGCCUGGACAGUCCUGCACAACAGACAACUAAAUCAGAUUCAGUCCUCAGGAGGGAUCAAAAACAUCAUGGAUUCCUCACUGCUUCGUCCUCUCAAAUUUGCAUUAGAUUCCAGCAUGUUUAACAAGGGUUCUUAAUUAAUUCAUAUUAUUUCACUGAAGAUAAAGUGUGCAAAUCUUAUGAAAACAUUUUCACUACUUGGAAGCAGGAGAUGGAUUCUUUCCUGUGCUGUGCUUUGGAAGUUAGGCUGUGAUUUUUUCUCCACUACUUGGAUAUAUGAUUCUAUCAAGCUGCCUUUAAAGUAGAAAAUUUGGUACCUUUCCCUCUUGCAGCUGUUUAAGAAUUUCAUUGCAUUGUUUACAGAUUUUUAUCAAGCUUUUCCAGAUGAUGUUUUAUACUGCCACUUCCAAGGAAAUCUUAUACCAACGGGUUUAAGCAGUGAUUAAAAUAUGGUAUGCAGGCAAAUUGGCCAUCUUUCAAGGCUAUCCUACAACUUCAGCUGUGUUAUUCAUAUUAAAAUCAGGAAAAGACUACGGGAACUUAUCCGCAUACAUUUAAUCUUCUAGCAUUAAAUGGUUGGCUGCUGUUAUUUUAAUUGAAAAAUAAGGUAAAUGGUACACUGUAUUCUUCAAAUCCUUGUUACUAGCUGAGAAAGAGGUUUCAUAAAACAACAUUAGCAGAGCAAACUGUCUUGUUAUCCACACACCAGUGAUUAUGCUAUGCCAAUGGUAUAUGAGAAUAGUCCAAAAUCCAAGUACUAUACGGACCAAGCAGUGGUUUUCUGUUUGUGGGCUGCCAGUGUGAUUUGUAUGACUCUUCUCUUUAUUUCCCAAAGUCUUGCGCUACAUCACUUUUCACUUUUGUGUUACUUGGCAAGGGAUAAUUGUGCAUGUUGCAGCAGUUAUUUGGGAAAGGUUGGAUAUAAUUGUUAUUGGCACUUCGUUCUAUGGGCUUUGUGUUCCAGAUUGAGUUAUUCAGUUGGGACAUUAGAUGACUGUUGAAAGCUUUUGUCAUAGCUGGACAUUAUCCACCAGUCUCUGAAAGCCAUUUCACAGUCUGAGAAAUGCACAAGAGAGUGGCCUGUAAAGAUAAGUGAGGAAAUAAAGAAAAGCAAGGCCUAUCAGCAGACAGUCCAUCAACUCUGAUUUUUGUGAAGAUGCAGCUUCUGCAUGAAGUUGUUUUAGGAGCAGGGAGAUAGAUAUGCCAGGGUCAAAGGUAGCUAGUAACAACCUGACAUCCCAGACAGCUCAAUGCUUGCUUUUUCUGCUCUUCCCCUCCCUCAGAGCAUAAUACACAGUACUGCUAGAAACUGGCCUCUUCUUUACCAAGUCUGUCGUUCCUCAAGAAAGAAAUGGGUUGGCUUUUUCCAAAGGCAGACAGAUCAUGGCUCUGCCUUUCCCUCAGCGAUGCUGCCUGAUCCAGCACACAGUUGUGCAGAGCAGCCACCAAGAUUGCAGCAAAAUCCAUUUCCGUAUCCACUCCUGCUAUUUGCCCAGUUUUAGACAAGAAACGAAGAUAGAGGCUUGUUCCCAAGCAUAAGCUUGGUACUAUGGAGCUGUGUCCUGGAGCCCUACCUGCUGCCAUCCUGCUUCCCAUCCCCUUUGGUUAGAUAAAGCAGAAGAAAGUUGCUUAUAUUAGAAUUCCACAGCAAAGCGCUUAGGAUCUGUAAAUGCUAAGAUCUGUCUUGCACAAUCGCAUUCCUCCUUGCCUAAUCAAUUAAACACUGGAGACCUACCUUGUGGCAGUUCUGAAUAGUUGUGGGUGCUGGCAGUACUGCAAAUGAAGCGUUGGUAAUAUUUGUCCGAUGCUAGGCCAGCUUUUUAUCACAAAAUGUAUUUGGUAAUUAAUUCUUAAGGAUGUUAAUCAAGUUGCAAUUCUAUUUGACACCUGCUUUCACAGCUAGAUAAGACCACAGGUCUUACAUGGCCUCAUGACACAUUACCCUUCGUAGCAAAAUCAGGUUAAUGCGUUCCUGCUCCCUUGCACAUCAGCCAUGCCUUCUCGGCUGUGCAAAUGUGACUGCUUGUCCACCACACUAGGCACUGGGUCAGGGAACCGUUCCAGCAUAAGUGAAAAAGGGCAAGUAAAAAAAAAAGCGUAUUUUGCUGUCAGCCCAGGAAAAAAAAUUCAUCUUCAAUGUCAAGCCACUGAGAAAUGAAAGAGCAGCAGGCAGCGGGGAGAGAGGCUGAGAGAUGUUAUAACCUGGUAAAGUUGCUGCAGAUUUCCAUGUCGUCAAACAUUUUAUAGCCUCAGAACUUCUAAACUACCUGUCAUAGCAAGUAUUACCUGUACGAUGCUUUUGAUAAACAUAGAGUUUUAUCAUAUUGCUAGCUUUAUACACCCGUUGUAACAGAUAUAUAACAGCGUAGACAACAGACCUGGCAUUUGGGUGAUGCCUUGUCUGAUCUGUUUUUUCCAUCACUUCCUCUCUUGUCACCCACUUUUGUAAGUUUUUUUUGUUUUGAAGCCCUAAGCAGUGCCAGCUUUGGCCGGAUUCAUCUGUGUAUAGUUUCAGCAGGUGUGACCACGCAGCUGGGUUUUCUGCUGAAUCCCAAGUACUGGAUGCAUCCAUGACUUACGCAGAAAUUCUGUACCACUCUAGAGCAUCAGCCUCUUUGUGCAAUACAGGAAUGCAAUGUGGGUGUCUAGCAAGGUUUUGGGUGCCACCAAGGAUAUUUGUUGCAGGAGAACAGGAUUUUUAUCAUUCGCAUUGACACAGAUACUUAAACUCUGCCAGCAUCUCAGUAUAGGCAGAAUCUAGGCCAUUUGGACCUUUCUAAGGACUCUUUAAUUACAUUAUCUCUCAAUUUUGUUCACUAUAAAGUCUGUUAAAAUGGAAGGAUAGAAUGUAGUUUGUUUAAUGCUGGAUUUACUCUGAGUUAAUUGAAAAUAGAAUAGGGAAUAAAAUUCAGGCACUGUUCUACAGAGCGCUUAUCUCAAUCAUAACAAACACAUGCUAAGCACUGAAGGAGGCAAACUGUGAGUGAAGGAGAAAAAAUUGUAAGUGAUCACAUAGGUAUGGCAUGUAUUAUAAUUCAUCUAUCUAAGAAAGAUUAAGAUUUGAAAGAAAAUAUUCCUUUUACUGAGUUUUAAAUCAUUACCAAUAAGUUAGUGUUUGCCAUCAGGAAUCUGAGGACUUCAUCACAUUCAAAUAAUUUUGUUAGCUGUAACAUUCCCCAUGUUAAGAUUGGCAGAGGGAGUUUGGCCUGUCCAAAGUCGUGGAUAGUCAGAAGCAAUUAAUGGUUUCAGAUAACCUGAUUCUCAGACCCAUGCUUUAUCUAGUAGAAUUUCUCCUUGAUGUCUGUGAAUGCUACAAAUACAGUCUUUCUAAUGCUGGGUUUUGCUUUCUUUCUGGGAUUGCAUUUCUGGUCUUAUUUUAUGAGGUGUUUUAUUAUAGGCUUUCUUUGUGCAUCCUUUCCAUCACCCAAACUGUAUUUGAUGUGGCUGAGGAUAUUGGAUGCCCGUGAUAUUCUAUCCAUCUGUGGCUACUUCAGAGGAUCCUCUUGUCAUCAGACAAACUCUUCUAGCCACAUAAAAUAGAUUAGAAGGAGCAAGAAAAUGUUUAGACUAGCAUGGAAAAUGAUGUUUGUUCUGAUCACAGUAAGAAAUUGCCCUGAAACUAUAGGAAUUUCCUGUUGCUAAAAUAUUGUGUAGGUCCUAAAAACUUUGUAGGCUGUUGUUUCUCCUCUGGGCAGCUAGAAGGGUCAAAGUGCCUUGGGGUAGGACAUAGAAUUGCAGUAUUUAAGAGUUCAUCUAGUCAGGAAAUUAUGGUUGUAAAGUUGCAUAUCCCUGUCACUUAUCAUUACACAGCUCAUUAAAUCUCUGCUAAUUGCAGCUUCACCCUGGUAUCCAGGUCCUGAAACCCUAAAAUCAAAAUCAUUUUCCUGUUCUAGUCACUUAUUGUACAGAAAACAAUAGAAUUUAAAGGUUAAACUGGUUGUAAUAAAGUUAAAAUUACACCUUGGUUAUUCAGUCCUUUAGCUCAGUUGUUCAAGAGGUGAGUGCUUAUUCCCAGAAACAGCUGGAAAUGUAUUUGAAAUUAGAUAUUUUUUAGUGUAAGAUACUCUAGUUUGUGUGUGAAACUUACUUGUUUCUUUCUCAUUUACUCUUUGUUGCUUUUCUCUCCCUCUAACUGUCCAUUCUCAUGAAUAACUCCCUGAAGAAUUAUCUAUUACAUUUUUGUCAUCAUAUAGUAUGCUGUGAAGAGUCACAUUAUGUGUCUCUUUGACAACCAGAGAAAUGUUUCAUAAACAAAAUUACAUGAGAAAUUAUUUUAAUGGUGAUUUACUAUAAAUAGCACAUCCCUACACUUCACUGGAACUCUCAAAGUAUAUUUUUGUUUCCAAAAGGUUCUGUUGCCACUGUCCAGCUUAAAGAGCAUGCUGGAAUAUAUCAUAUCUUCUCCUUGAAAUAAAAAUAGCAUCUAACUCUUGGAUGCUUUUAACAACAUCAGAUAUUUUCUAUUAUCAUGAAGUAAAGAAAGAGCAUAAUUUAGAACUCAUCACAAUUUCACAUGAGUUUACCUCAGGAAUCACCCGCAAGUCAAAAUUGUGAUAGAGUGCCUUUUUUCUCCAGCAUGGGCUUUUGAAGAUGGAGAUGAGCUGCACCAAGCUUAGUUGUGUCUGCAUUUGAACUCUUGACUUUUACUUUGCAGUUAAAGAAAGUGAUCUCUUUCAGUCAUGUAUAAAUGAUAAUGAGGCAAAUGCCGUUUUUUCUUAUUCUCCCCAAACCACCUUUAUCUAUUGGCAAGUUUCUUUUGUUAAAAAAAGACUCGAAAAUAGACGUGUAUAUUUGUUAUGCAAGUUUUCUUAAGAAUUUAUGUAGCAGCGAGAAUCCUUCCACUACAAACUGCAUUCAUAUCACUGAAAUAAAUUAAAGGUUCUUGCCUUUUUGCAUGGAAUUUCUGAUUUUUCAACAUUUUCAUCAUCGUUAUUCUAACUUGAUCGGCAAGACUAGAACUGUCUUUUCAAAUAAGCAUCCUUGGCAAGUAAGUUCAAUUUUUAGUUAAACGUCUUGUUUUAGAUAUACCUUCACUGUGUAAUUGUCCAUGAGCAGCUGAAAUUGUAAGCGUGCUGACACAUUAGUCAUCACAGCUGUUUUUAUUAGGUUUUGCUAUACUUGUUAAACUAGUUUGCUUUUAGUAAUUAUAUUGUUCUUUUGUACUGGCUGUCUUUUCAGACAUGCUUUCUAUUUUUUUAAAGUAAUAAAGAACAAUCCUGAGGGGGGGGAAACCCAUAAAAUCAAAUUACAAAAAAUUAGAAUUGUAGUUAAUGUAAAUAUCUACCACGUGUAAGGGGAUUGUUCUCUAAGUUGUAAUAUGGCAUAACUUUAUUUUUUAAAAAGCCGCACUUUUAUUUGUAGAGAAUGGCAGUACAGUUUUGCAAGACUGCUCAUGAAUCUUCUGAUCCUAAAUAAUGAUGCCUGGAUACUAAUCAUUACUUGUUCCAAGACGAUCUCAGUACAGUUAUUCCUAUUAAGAAACUCUGGAACCCUUAAACUUUCUUAUGAGAGCUGUCACUGUACAUUUUCCAAAGCAGAGCAACUUUAUAAAUACUAACAAAUUAGGUCUUGUAGAACUUGAGUGAUAUAUGGAAUAUCUAAAUGGUACAGAUGAAAAAACACAGGGAUCAGAGAAGUUAACACUGGACUAACUGCACAGAAAAAUGUUGAGGAGCUGGCAGUUUUUCCCUGAACUAAAGCUCAUGUGGUGACCAAGCAGAGUCAUCUCGUGCCACUGUCGGUGACAUGCUCUCAGCCUCUGGGGACUCAGAACAAAAGACGGUCUUGUGAAGUUUGAUCCCAAAUCUCCUGCUUACGGAUGUGAACAGUACUUGUGUGACUGCUAUUUUUAACCUCUAGUCGCUUACUAUUUGAGACACAUAUAUGAAAUAUUGCUAUCUAGCCAUCAUCAGAACAAAUGAGUCUUGUAGGUUACAUCUGGAAUAAAUGAGGCAGUGUUCCAGGCUCUCCGGGAAAGCCUACAAGGGUUUCAUUUGGCUGUUGGGCCGAUAGCCUUCUUGGAGUCUUUUUCCCUUCCUCUGUUGAUUGAUGUUGAGGCACUCUACCCCUGCAUACUUCUUUCUGCACAGAAAUACAAACGUUCAGCCGUGAUUUUUCAAUUCAUCCCAGAUUAGUUAUUAAUUUGCAUUAAUUUAUCAAGUGCUAGAGGCCAAAAGUCUUCUUCCAGACCUAUUUUUUCUCUUGUUGACUAGUAUGAAGGGGAUAGGAGAACAGCUGAAUAAUAUGAGCAUGAUAGUCUUCAUGCAGCCUGUUUUAUAUACUAAAAAGUGCCCAUGCUAUUACUCUUUUUGAAGCUGAUACUGCUGGAGUCUUGCUGAGACGCCUCUGUUUAUUCCUAACAUUGCAGCUGUGCACCUGAUAGGCAUGCGGAGAAUUUGAAGGUGCUGGCUCUCCCCUGGAUAGAUUUGUUUAACUCUUGAGGUCCUGCUAGCCCAGGUGGCAGCCUGGGGGCAAUCUGCAAUGACUCUGAUAUUUCAGGCACUGCGCAUUGCGUUGGGAAAGCCUCGGCGCGGAUGGGAGCAGGGCUGCUCAGCAGGGCAGCAGGGCUCAGAAGGGGCUCUGCAGAGCACGUGCCAGGCUCCCAGUGCUGCGUGUGCCCCUCACAGCCUCCAAAAGUUAUAACAGGAAUGACAGCUCUGGAACACAAUAACAUUUCUAACUUAAAUGCUAUGAGUUUUAUUUGGUUAUCACUCUCCCCCCAGGCAAGGAAAAAUAAGGGGAUAUGAGAUAAUCUGGAGUUUCUUCAAAAAGCUCAGACAAUAAUUGAUUUUGAAAGACUGAGAAAUAUUUAGCUCCCAAGCCAAGUUCAACACCCUCCGCAGUGCUGGAGCAUGUGGCUCGGUGAGCUCUGGAGUCCACUCUGACAGAGCAGAGCAAUGCCCUCUCCACACCCCCCCAGCACCAGCUGGCGGGGAGGAAUCGAGGAAGGCAGGCAAAAAUCAGGGAUAUGAAUCCAUAAAGAGCUGUUGGGAAAGGCCAUGAGGGAGUGCUCCUGGGCUUGUAUCAUCCAGGAAUAUUUGUCAUAGUUAUUUCUGAAUGGACUGUAAAAUGUUAAAGCUGUUUCACGGUAACCUUGCUCAUUAAUUCCUGAAAGACAAAAUCCAUGAUGUGCAACAGCCCAUGACUGCGCACUUCUUUCUGAACUUGUCACGCUGUUCAGGAACGUUAUUGCAUUGUCUUUCUCUCACAGGAAAACAAUUAGCAGAAGCAUCUCUUUUCCUAUUUCAGUCAGUCACCGGUGUCUCAUUUCAAAUUUUGGAUCUAAUUUUGCAUUUACUUUAGCAAUUAGGAACACCCUGGUAAAAAGCUGUAGAACUUCACUUUGAAAAGGCCAAAAUAAAUACAGACAUUGUUGUCGGCUUGUGGUUUUGUUUUUGCUUUGGAA